AACAAAGGAGACCUUGGGCAACAGGAUCAGAGCAGUCCCCAUAGCCUACAAAGCUUCUGGAGCAGGACUCCACAUCUGCUCCCCUGGCCAGGAUCCAGACUCAGUGCAAGCCAGACAAAGAUUUCAAUUACUGAAGGAGCAGCUGUUGCUCCAGAAGACAGGGGUGAAGCCAAUCCCUUCUCCACAUGCUACUCAAACUGCACAAAAAGCUGGCCAGCGGGCCAGAGCACAGCUGUAUGGUGUAACUUAGCUUUUCAAGGAAAGGACACCAGUUUAAUUAAGGUCUGUGCUUGCAACAGAGGGCUGAACAGUGCCCAGUUCUCCUCUUCUCUGGAUCAACAGCAGCAGCACGAGCUUCUCAUGUGUGCACGUACCUCGCCUCUAGCAGGGACUGGUCUCCGUUUCACUGCAUCCCCUUCUGGCUCUGCUAACACUAUUCUCAGUUCCUCCUGCCCUGUGUGGACAAGGACACUUUCAUUUACAUGAGACUCGGUGGAUGUCCCUGUGGGCUCAGCCACAACUUUCUCACCCUUGUUAAAUAUCAUGCUGGUUUGGAGAUUCUCUCUGCUCCUCAGUGGCAGGUGUCUUGUGAUACUGAUCAGCCUUGUGAUACUGAUACAGCCUGGCCCUCAGAACAUGAGUGCUGAAUGGAAACAUGUGGCCCUUCACAGCUGGUGAAGUAUAAAUGUUGGCUGAACACUGAUCAGUGACAUGUAGGAGGAGGAGGGUUGGCCUUCAUCCUGCAUGGUGGAGAACAACGGAGCUUUGCAAUGGGGCUAUGAACCAUAUCCUUCACAUGGUUCUCUAUGUGUUGUACUGCAUCUUCUAAAGAAAAAAACAGAAAGGUAGAAAAUCAAAUGAUAAUUGAUCAUUAACAUGAUAAGUAAUAAACUGCUUACUGUUCCAAUAUAUGUUGAGAGA
This 921-nucleotide long non-coding RNA is filed under the name Anas platyrhynchos platyrhynchos (common mallard). RNAcentral's name for it is "lncRNA (ENSAPLG00000016609.1)". The record is from RNAcentral. Lineage: Eukaryota; Metazoa; Chordata; Aves; Anseriformes; Anatidae.